This 497-nucleotide ribosomal RNA is filed under the name uncultured bacterium. RNAcentral's name for it is "partial 16S ribosomal RNA". It matches the Rfam family "Bacterial small subunit ribosomal RNA", at positions 28 to 507 of the family's 1533-position model. The record is from RNAcentral.
GAUGAACGCUGGCGGCGUGCCUAAUACAUGCAAGUCGAACGCAUAGCGAAAGGUGCUUGCACCUUUCAAGUGAGUGGCGAACGGGUGAGUAACACGUGGACAACCUGCCUCAAGGCUGGGGACAACAUUUGGAAACAGAUGCUAAUACCGAAUAAAACUUAGUGUCGCAUGACACAAAGUUAAAAGGCGCUUCGGCGUCACCUAGAGAUGGAUCCGCGGUGCAUUAGUUAGUUGGUGGGGUAAAGGCCUACCAAGACAAUGAUGCAUAGCCGAGUUGAGAGACUGAUCGGCCACAUUGGGACUGAGACACGGCCCAAACUCCUACGGGAGGCUGCAGUAGGGAAUCUUCCACAAUGGGCGAAAGCCUGAUGGAGCAACGCCGCGUGUGUGAUGAAGGCUUUCGGGUCGUAAAGCACUGUUGUAUGGGAAGAACAGCUAGAAUAGGAAAUGAUUUUAGUUUGACGGUACCAUACCAGAAAGGGACGGCUAAAUACGUG